Molecule: long non-coding RNA, 350 nt
Organism: Limulus polyphemus (Atlantic horseshoe crab)
Lineage: Eukaryota; Metazoa; Arthropoda; Merostomata; Xiphosura; Limulidae
Exons: 3
Source: RefSeq, a predicted model, not a curated record
CAUAACUCAUACAGUGAAAAAAGCCACGGGAGUUUGUUCUUGAGGAUUGGAGCAAUAGCAUUUGGACUAGUAACAAUGAUUUACAAUGGACUAGAGUUUGGGAAGUUCUUCGAUGUCCCAGUUUCGUCCCCAUGUUACAAUGUUCUUUUGGGCGUGAAUCCUGUUUUCCAGAUGAUCUUCACCUUCUUUCAAAUGUAUUUUAUAUUUGUGAAUUGCAGGCUGAACAUCCAGAAAUUCAAGACAGUGGCUAGAUUUGGCUUAAUGCAUAUGGUUGCUACAAACCUUUGUGUAUGGCUAAGAACGCUGGGCAAAGAAACUCUUUACGAAAUUUCUGAAGAACUAAUAAAAAC